This 450-nucleotide ribosomal RNA is filed under the name uncultured bacterium. RNAcentral describes it as "bacterial SSU rRNA". It matches the Rfam family "Bacterial small subunit ribosomal RNA", at positions 354 to 796 of the family's 1533-position model. The record is from RNAcentral.
GUGGGGAAUUUUGGACAAUGGGCGCAAGCCUGAUCCAGCAAUGCCGCGUGCAGGAAGAAGGCCUUCGGGUUGUAAACUGCUUUUGUACGGAACGAAACGGUCCGGGUUAAUACCCUGGGCUAAUGACGGUACCGUAAGAAUAAGCACCGGCUAACUACGUGCCAGCAGCCGCGGUAAUACGUAGGGUGCAAGCGUUAAUCGGAAUUACUGGGCGUAAAGCGUGCGCAGGCGGUUUUGUAAGACAGGCGUGAAAUCCCCGGGCUCAACCUGGGAAUUGCGCUUGUGACUGCAAGGCUGGAGUGCGGCAGAGGGGGAUGGAAUUCCGCGUGUAGCAGUGAAAUGCGUAGAUAUGCGGAGGAACACCGAUGGCGAAGACAAUCCCCUGGACCUGUACUGACGCUCAUGCACGAAAGCGUGGGGAGCAAACAGGAUUAGAAACCCUAGUAGUCC